AGAAGCAGCCAUCAUUUAAAGAAAGCGUAAUAGCUCACUGGUCGAGUCGGCCUGCGCGGAAGAUGUAACGGGGCUAAACCAUGCACCGAAGCUGCGGCAGCGACACUGUGUGUUGUUGGGUAGGGGAGCGUUCUGUAAGCCUGUGAAGGUGUGUCGUGAGGCAUGCUGGAGGUAUCAGAAGUGCGAAUGCUGACAUAAGUAACGAUAAAGCGGGUGAAAAGCCCGCUCGCCGGAAGACCAAGGGUUCCUGUCCAACGUUAAUCGGGGCAGGGUGAGUCGACCCCUAAGGCGAGGCCGAAAGGCGUAGUCGAUGGGAAACGGGUUAAUAUUCCCGUACUUGGUGUUACUGCGAAGGGGGGACGGAGAAGGCUAUGUUGGCCGGGCGACGGUUGUCCCGGUUUAAGCGUGUAGGUGUGUGUUCCAGGUAAAUCCGGUUCACUUUAACACUGAGGCGUGACGACGAGGCACUACGGUGCUGAAGCAACAAAUGCCCUGCUUCCAGGAAAAGCCUCUAAGCAUCAGGUAACAUCAAAUCGUACCCCAAACCGACACAGGUGGUCAGGUAGAGAAUACCAAGGCGCUUGAGAGAACUCGGGUGAAGGAACUAGGCAAAAUGGUGCCGUAACUUCGGGAGAAGGCACGCUGACA
This 648-nucleotide ribosomal RNA is filed under the name Salmonella enterica. RNAcentral's name for it is "partial 23S ribosomal RNA". It matches the Rfam family "Bacterial large subunit ribosomal RNA", at positions 1108 to 1756 of the family's 2925-position model. Lineage: Bacteria; Pseudomonadati; Pseudomonadota; Gammaproteobacteria; Enterobacterales; Enterobacteriaceae. The record is from RNAcentral.